This 253-nucleotide ribosomal RNA is filed under the name uncultured bacterium. RNAcentral's name for it is "partial 16S ribosomal RNA". It matches the Rfam family "Bacterial small subunit ribosomal RNA", at positions 524 to 776 of the family's 1533-position model. The record is from RNAcentral.
UACGGGGGGGGCAAGCGUUGUUCGGAAUUACUGGGCGUAAAGGGCUCGUAGGUGGCCAACUAAGUCAGACGUGAAAUCCCUCGGCUUAACCGGGGAACUGCGUCUGAUACUGGAUGGCUGGAGUUUGGGAGAGGGAUGCGGAAUUCCAGGUGUAGCGGUGAAAUGCGUAGAUAUCAAGAGGAACACCUGAGGUGAAGACGGGUUGCUGGGCUGACACUGACGCUGAGGCGCGAAAGCUAGGGUAGCAAACGGG